Molecule: transfer RNA, 64 nt
Filed under: Lamprotula cornuumlunae
Lineage: Eukaryota; Metazoa; Mollusca; Bivalvia; Unionida; Unionidae
Description: tRNA-Glu
Source: RNAcentral
GCUAACUGAGUGUCUUCGCACGUUGACUUUUCGCGUCAAAGGGGUAUAUUAAGUACAUUUAGCU